RNAcentral lists this non-coding RNA (30 nucleotides) under Mus musculus (house mouse). The record is from RNAcentral. Lineage: Eukaryota; Metazoa; Chordata; Mammalia; Rodentia; Muridae.
UGCUAGUGGGCUAGGAUCGACCUACUUUAG